AUCGUGCCGCGGCGAGCCAGUCGCACCCACCGAGUUGGGUCAGGGAAUCCGGUGAGAGACCGGAGCUGACGCGCAGCGGUAUGGGGGACGGGCGGAGCAUCGGCCACUGGACCACGAGGUCCGGGAAGGCGCUCCUCCCGGUCGAUCCCGAGCCCGAAGACCUGCUGGCUUGCGGCCCUCCGC
RNAcentral lists this non-coding RNA (183 nucleotides) under Patulibacter medicamentivorans. The record is from RNAcentral. Lineage: Bacteria; Bacillati; Actinomycetota; Thermoleophilia; Solirubrobacterales; Patulibacteraceae.